This 497-nucleotide ribosomal RNA is filed under the name uncultured bacterium. RNAcentral describes it as "partial 16S ribosomal RNA". It matches the Rfam family "Bacterial small subunit ribosomal RNA", at positions 28 to 507 of the family's 1533-position model. The record is from RNAcentral.
GAUGAACGCUGGCGGCGUGCCUAAUACAUGCAAGUCGAGCGAACAGACGAUGAUCGUGCUCCUCUAACGUUAGCGGCGGACGUGUGAGUAACACGUGGAUAACCUACCUAUAAGACAGGGAUAACUUCGGGAAACCGGAGCUAAUACCGGACAAUAGAUUGAACCGCAUGGUUUAAUAGUGAAAGACGGUUUUGCUGUUAUUUUUGGAUGGACACCAGCCGCAUGGACUAGUAGGUACGGUAUCAGCUUACCAAGGCAACGAUGCGUAGGCGACCUGAGAGGGUGGAGCACCCCACAGGGACUUAAACACGGUCCAGAGGACAACAUAAGGCAGCAGAGCGGAAUCUUGCGCAAUGGGCGAAAGCCUGACAAAGCAACGCCGCGAGGGUGCUGAAAAUCUUCGGAUCGAAAAACUCUGUUAUUAGGGAAGAACAAAUUUGGAAGUAACUAUGCACGUCUUGACGGUACCUAAUCAAAAAGCCACGGCUAACUACGUG